UUUCGGUGAUGAAUCAAACCAGCUCAUUAGGACAGUCGAUGAAAACACAUGAACGCCUGAGAAAC
Small nucleolar RNA from Acomys russatus (golden spiny mouse), 65 nucleotides. Lineage: Eukaryota; Metazoa; Chordata; Mammalia; Rodentia; Muridae. The record is from RefSeq and is a predicted model, not a curated record.